UUUCACCAAUGUUAGCAGAGGGCAGAAUUCACCCGCUUGGUUCCAUAUGAUAUUCAACUAAGCCUGGAUAAUGUGUCAUUUUCAGCACUUUUUCCUUUGGGCUUGUCUACAUGCUUGGGACUGACAUCAAAGUGGGAAUCUUCAAUUGCAUCAUGCCACUGAAACAGGCUUUCCAGCUGCAUGUUCCCAGCUGUGACCAACUGAAGGGAGAGAAUUACCAAAUAAGAACAGGCUGAACAAGACAAUAAUCUCCUCCAAUCAAAGCCUGCCAGGGCUGAGAACGCUGUGCAGUCCUCUUCUAAGCUACUGCCAAAACUGCCUCUGCUAUUGAGCAGUGCCAUGGCCGUUCUGCUCAUCCCGCCAUUGCAUGCAUGUGUGAUAGUUCGGAUGACACGAAUGAUGGACGUGAUCUUCAUGUCUGACACAGAGAGGGAGCUGUUGAGGCUGCAAAUAGCAACAAGCAAAAAAAUCAAGAGUCAGGUGCAUCUGUACCAAAAUAACAGUCAUAUGGAUCGAUAGACCUUUGAAGGCCUCUGAAAACACUGUAGCUUCUGCAUCAUCAGAGCCAAGAACAGGCCUACCUCAAGUUUCAAGUGAUCCCUCUUCUCUUUCAUUUUUCUGAAAGAAUAUCUACACACAUGGAAAAGAUGGAUUUAUAAAAAAGCAAAGGAGUCAUGAGGGACCACAUAUUGACCAUACAGAGGUUAUUUUCUUGUGGAAAUCCUUGAACGUUGUGUGGAAAUGAGUCGAUGAACACAGUGUUACUGUAAGGUGAUCAUCCUCUAGACCUGAAGUGGGCAGUGCUGAGGAAGAUAACCAGAGCUGAAAGACCCUGCAGUGAUCCACUGAAAAAACUCAGCCAGCAGGUCCUGCUGGUACCUGUUCCAUGUGAGAAGUUUGACAAUGAAGAUAUGUAAAGCACAGGAUGUGCUACUCUAAAGGAGUUUCCGGCAUCACGCAGACUCUCCUGCCAGCCAAGGAAUGAGCGUGGCUUCAUCCCAAACCCAUCGUCGAAAUUCCUGAGUCACCCACAGGGGUGGCCGCGGGGCGGGUCAAAGCUGUCCCUCUCCCAGGAUGCAGCGAGCGGCCACCGCUUUCUCCCAGACACUGACAGCUCUUUUUCUAAAAGGGGAACGCGUGUCCCCUGAUAGCACUGGAGCAUCAUUUUUGCAUUGGUUCCAAAUAAGUUCACAUUUUUGGGCAGCUGGUUCAAAAGCAGUUGCAAAUUCCCUUUAACACAGUUGCGUAAAAAGCAGGACCCGCCAAGCUCAACCGAGAAAAUAUGGAUUCCCAAGGAAUCUGGACUAGCUCCUAAGUUUCUGCUAAUUUUGUUCCCAAAGACAUCUGCUUCUAUUUGCGCAUUUCUUCAGAUACUAAAGACAAAAUUAGAAUACAGAGAUUUUGGUGUUAAAAGCAUAAGCGCAGAUGUGCUGAAACUGCCACAGCCCUUUUAAUGGUCAUGCUUCAGAGAGAGACUCUGGGAGCAACUGGUAGAAAUCAGUUUCCUGCCGUAAGCAUACUUUUGAGGUUUUGAACCUCCAAUAUAUCAGAAGACAGUGCCAGCCACUGAAUUAUGCUGCUAAGCUUCUUAGCAGAGCUCCUAAAAUCAUCACAGUAAUUUUCAAGGUGUUUUUCAAAUAUGGCACUUUGGGAAUCUGUUUCUGUGAACCCAUUUCUGGGAAGGUCUUGCACAAAUUCCAGGUACAAACAGUAACCCUGUAAAAUGCCCUAAAAUGUGCUGAGGCAAGCACUUCACUAGCUUUCCCCCUUCCUACAAAAAACAGCAAGUCAGAUCACAAAUUAUUACACAAUAUUGACUGCACUUCCAGGACUUCUUUUGCUCAAGCCUCAUAUACGAUUAUAAAAAGGUUACAUAAGAUGACAUUUUUUAAAGUGGAGGAGCCUCUGUUUACCAUUUAAACUAGGUAUUCUAAUUCAGAGCUGCUAGUUAUAAGGGAUGCUCCUUAGACUUCGGCUGUUCUCUGAAAGUCUGAUCUUCUUAAAUGAAGCAAGUAAGAAACAAAAUCCGAAACCACUUUUGAAAAAUUGGAUUGUAAUAUGCAGACCAUUAUUGACUGGUCUGUAAAUCUGCAAAGUAGUAGGAAGUUUUAAUCAACUUGGAUUUCUAGUGUGGAAGGAAAGGUCAAACUCCAACAGCAGCAAUCUUUCUCACGAUAAUGCAAAAUAUCUCCACUGAAUUGUCACUGGGAAAUUCACAGAUUUCCAGAAAUCACAGUGAUAUUUCAUUUUCAUCUUUUUAAAAGAGUCAAAGCUUCUAAACACUGAGUAGCUCAGGAGCCUGCAAAUUCCUAGAGCCAGGUCCACAAGACUGCUGAAAUGCUGAGAAGUUGUGAAAUUGGGAUUUCUGAGCUGUGGGACGAUCCACAAGGAGAACCUAGAGGUGCUUAGGAGCCACACGACUGCACUAAGGCUUCCAAAAUACCACAAGAAAUAAAUCAAUUUCAGAUGUUUUAAUAAACAGAAAGCCUGCCGGCUUUCCACCAGACUUUCAUGAAAAUUGAUGUUCCCACAAAAUGCUUCCAUUUUGACAAAUAUAUUCCAAUUAAAAAUAAAAUUUAAAAGCAUUGUGGUAGAGAAUUCCCCAAUUCUCAAUUUUUCAACAUAGUUUUGCUUCGUCUUUCACAAAUGAAAUCUCUUUAGUACAAAACACCACGAACCAGCAGGUGGUAAACCAGCACUUAGUGAUUGCCCUGUAAAAGUAUCCCAGUUCAACUGUAAGAAAGAAACUAAUUCACAUUUUAUCUGCCCAUUUAUCUUCUCUGAAUAAAAGGAGAAAAUUGUGGGGAAGAAGUCUGCCCAAGGGUUCAAUAUAUCUUAAAAAAAAAAAUCUUGCUGAUGUUUUCUCCUCCCUUCCCACACAGUAUACGAACCAGUAACGUUGUUUUUAUGUGGCACACAGUGCUGAAGGUUUAAGAAGAAAGAUAUGAAGCUGGACAACUAGGAGACAGUAAAGCAUGUUAAUGUUCCCCUAAUUGAGACAACAGCCUACAAUCAUUUCACCUCUUGAACAAAGGCAAGAUUCACAGACUGUCUUAAAGUUUGUGGUAUAGCACAUACUAAAUAUAGUCAAGCUAUGUAAAGCAGAGCAGCGAGGUGCUUUGGCACAUUUUCAGGAACUGCACAGAAGAAAGGCCAGCUACUUUCAGUUCAGAGCAGAAUGAGUCAUUUAUCACCAAAAGACCCAUUAAACACAAACAAGAUCCUGCAGAAACCUGCAAAGAAUGAGACUGUUACUGAAAGUACCAACCUAUCUGCCUUUUGUGAGCGGCCCCUAAAAAGAUACAGAGUAAACAGGACUUCUCGCUGAGUACUGACUCUGGUUUCCAAGGUUGGAGCUCACCCUAUGAGGUCCCCACCAGCCGACUGGCCUGCAACCAUCUGACUAUGGGUUGUGAAGCUCCCAGACUCUUCCAGCCAGAAAGAUGACACAACUCUGAAGGAAACCCAGAAGUUCAAGAAGUGAUAUUAAUAUUUGCAGUGGAGUAGAUUAUUUCUGUCUGUGCUAGCAAAGCACAAAUGCUUCAACUUUAUUUCAAGCAAGUACAAAAGGCAUUACUCUGAUGUCAGGUAUUUUUGAAACCCUCUUGUUUGAGGGGUGAGUCACUCAUUACGAGUUGAUGUAAAGGAUUUUACAUCAGAUCCAGAUUAAUUCUUCAGCUUGCUUUGUGAUUAAAUUGAGCAAUGUAAAUGCAUGUGUUUCUGCCAUAACAGCAUAAUUUCUAUCCUUUUUCUCCAUAUAUUGCAGUGAAAAACUUGAGAAAAAUGAAUACAAGUAUUUUUGCACAAACUUAAAAUUCACUUUCUAAAAAUACUAUGAUUAUGAUUCCAAGUUUUUGCAGAGGUAUUUGUGCUGACAGGUAUUACAUAUAGAUCUAUUCAGAAAAUAAAGAGAAUCAAGAACAUUAAUGGAAACUACAUAAACAAUUUGAGUUGUACAAAAGGAAAAAAAAGAAAGAAGAAGCCCUGGAUGGUCUUUGGUCAAAAGAGUACAUUUACUCUUGUUUUUUGCAGGGGAAGGUGUUUUUUUUAAGGUAGCCUCAUGCACUCUGGAUAUCUUAGAUUACCGUGAAAAAACACCUUUCCAGGUGCAAUCAUGUUGGGUAUCAGAGGAAAGAGCUCCCACUGGAACAACCAGCACCAGUUGCUGCAGAACUUCCUUCCAGAAUUUCUUUGUUUUGCUACAGCUGUUCAUGUUGUUGUGUGCUUUGGUUUGUAGCAAAAACAGAUUUUAAAUUGUUUUCUUAAAUCA
Long non-coding RNA from Dromaius novaehollandiae (emu), 4270 nucleotides. RefSeq lists it as uncharacterized. The transcript has 9 exons. The record is from RefSeq and is a predicted model, not a curated record. Lineage: Eukaryota; Metazoa; Chordata; Aves; Casuariiformes; Dromaiidae.